Molecule: long non-coding RNA, 4286 nt
Organism: Oreochromis niloticus (Nile tilapia)
Lineage: Eukaryota; Metazoa; Chordata; Actinopteri; Cichliformes; Cichlidae
Source: Ensembl
AUGAGUAGCUUCCUUGAGACCAGAAGGGCCAGGUUUAAAUCCUGGUCAUGGGAUUUGAACACCUGUUUUCAGCACAAAUCUCAACUUAUUAGCUGUUUUAAGCAGAAACCUGUUUUACGCAGAGAAACUUUUUUAACUCAAUUUCAGCUUUUUCACCCCUUUUCAGCAAAAUUUUCAGUUUCCCAGCUUUUUCAGCUAUUUUCAGCAAAAACAUCUUUUCAGCAGAAUUCUGAAAAGAGUUCUGCAGAACACUUUUCAGCAGAACUUCUGCUGACUGAACUGUUUUCAGCAGAAUUUUCACCUCUUUUCAGCCCAAAUUCUGCUUGUUCACCUCUUCUGCAAAAUUUUCAGCCUUUUCACCUCUUAUUAGCACAAAUCUCAGCUGUUUUCAGGAAAAACUCUUUUAAGCAGAAAUUCUGCUGAUUGAACUCUUUUCAGCAGAAUUUUCACCUCUUUUCAGCCCAAAUUCUGCUUAUUCACCUCUUCUGCAAAAUUUUCAGCCUUUUCACCUCUUAUUAGCACAAAUCUCAGCUGUUUUCAGAAAAAACACUUUUGAGCAAAAAAUUCUGCUGAUUCAUCUCUUUUCAGCGCAACUUUCUGCUUCUUUACCUCUUUUCAGCAGAAAUUCUGCUGAUUCACCUCUUUUCUGCAAAAUUUUCAGCCUUUUCUCCUCUUAUCAGCACAAUUCUCAGCAGCUUCUGCUCAUUUCAGCAGAAUUGUCCGUCUCUCCACCUCUUCUUUGUCAGAAUGAGUUUAGCUCAGUGAGAUGAGUGGCUGCCUCAAGACCUGGAGGACUAGGUUCGAAUCCUGCUCAAGGCACUGUUUUUUUUUUUUUUCACCACCAUACAACUUUUUGCAACUUUUCAUCUUUUUCAGUUUUUGAGCAGACAGCUUCAGCAUUAAGGCAUCCACACAGCAUUUUCGCAGGAAAUGCAAAUUUUUCUAGUUCUUUAUUAUUCUUGGGGUUUCCGUACGUUUUUUGCCGCUUAACUACUGCCUCAGUUUUCAGCCGAUUUUCUCAGUUCAAACUUUAAAAAAUUCUGCUGUUUCUGCUAAUGUGUGCUAUGACUUUUGGUGCUCAUAACUUCUAUACUUUUUGAGAUAUUGAAUUUUUUUUGCAAUAUUUUUUGCCCAUUUUUGCACAUUCUCAGUGGGGUCACUAGCUUUCCUUGCCCGGUUGAGCCGUGUUUUAGCUCAGUGAGAUGAGCAGCCGUUCUCAGACUGGGAGGCCCGGGUUCAAAUCCCGCUUAUGGCAACAUUUCUUUCAGUUAACAGUUAAACUUUUUUAACUCUUUUCAACACAAAUUUCAGCUUUUCCACCCCUUUUCAGCAAAAAAAACUCUUUUCAGCAGAAUUCUGAAAAGAGUUCUGCAGAACUCUUUUCAGCAGAAAUUCUGCUGAUUGAACUCUUUUCAGCAGAAAUUUCAGAAUUUUCACCUCUUUUCAGCCCAAAUUCUGCUUAUUCACCUCUUCUGCAAAAUUUUCAGCCUUUUCACCUCUUAUCAGCACAAAUCUCAGCAGUGAGCAGAAAUUCUGCUGAUUCAUCUCUUUUCAGCGCAACUUAUUGCUUCUUUACCUCUUUUCUGCAGAAAUUCUGCUGAUUCACCUCUUUUCUGCAAAAUUUUCAGCCUUUUCUCCUCUUAUCAGCACAAUUCUCAGCAGCUUCUGCUCAUUUCAGCAGAGUUGUCCGUCUCUCCACCUCUUCUUGGUCACAGUGAGUUUAGCUCAGUGAGAUGAGCAGCUGCCUUCAGACCAGAAGGGCCAGGUUCAAAUCCCGGUCAUGGCAAAACCUGUUUUCAGUUUUCUCUUUUGUUCUACCUCUUUUCCGCAGAAAUUCUGCUGAUUUAUCUCUCUUCUGCAAAAUUUUCAGGCUUUUCGCCUCUUCUCAGCACAAAAAAUGAGCAGCUUCUGCUCAUUUUAGCAGAAUUGUCCGUCUCUCCUCCUCUUUUUUGAGAAAAUGAGUUUAGCUCAGUAAGAUGAGUAGCUACCUUGAGUCCAGGAGGACCAGGUUCGAAUCCUGCUCAGGGUAACAUUUUUUUUUCACCACCAUACAACUUUUUGCAACUUUUCAUCUUUUUCAGCUUUUCAGCAGACAGCUUCAGUGUUAAGGCAGCCACACAGCAUUUUAGGAGGAAAUGCAAAUUUUUCUAGUUCUUUAUUAUUCUUGGGGAUUCCGUACGUUUUUUGCCGCUUAUCUACUCCCUCAGUUUUCAGCCGAUUUUCUCAGUUCAAACUUUAAAAAAUUCUGCUCUUUCUGCUAAUGUUUGCUAUGACUUUUGGUGCUCAUAACUUCUAUACUUUUUGAGAUAUUGAAUUUUUUUUGCAAUAUUUUUUGCCCAUUUUUGCCCAUUAUCAGUGGCCUCACUAGUUUUCCUUGCCUGGUUGAGCCGUGUUUUAGCUCAGUGAGAUGAGCAGCCGUUCUCAGACUGGGAGGCCCGGGUUCAAAUCCCGCUUAUGGCAACAUUUCUUUCAGUUAACAGUUAAACUUUUUUAACUCUUUUCAACACAAAUUUCAGCUUUUCCACCCCUUUUCAGCAAAAUUUUCAUUUUUUUCUGCUGUUUUCAGAAAAAAAAAGUCUUUUCAGCAGAAAUUCUGCUCAUUCACCUCUUUUCAGCGCAAUGUUCUGCUUCUUUCCAUCUUUUCUGCAGAAAUUCUGCUCAUUCAACUCUUUUCAGCAGAAUAUUCAGAAUUUUCACCUCUUUUCAGCCCAAAUUCUGCUUAUUCACCUCUUCUGCAAAAUUCUCAGCCUUUUCACCUCUUAUCAGCACAAAUCUCAACUUUUUUCAGAAAAAAACUCUUUUCAGCAGAAAUUCUGCUGAUUCACCUCUUUUCAGCGCAACGUUCUGCUUCUUUCCCUCUUUUCUGCAGAAAUUCUGCUGAUUCACCUCUUUUCUGCAAAAUUUUCAGCCUUUUCACCUCUCAUCAGCACAAUUCUCAGCAGCUUCUGCUAAUUUCAACAAAAUUGUCAGUCUGUCCACCUCUUCUUUGCGGGAAUGAGUUUGGCUCAGUGAGAUGAGUGUCUGCCUUCAGCCCAGGAGGGCCGGGUUCAAAUCCAGCUUAGGGCGACAUUUUUUUUUUUCACCACCACACAACUUUUUGCAACUUUUCAUCUUUUUCAGCUUUUCAGCAGACAGCUUCAGCAUUAAGGCAUCCACACAGCAUUUUCGCAGGAAAUGCAAAUUUUUCUAGUUCUUUAUCUUUAUUCUUCUAGUUGCUCCGUUUUUUGGCACUUAACUACUGCCUCAGUUUUCAGCCGAUUUUCUCCGUUCAAACUCUAAACUGUUCUGCUCUUUCUGCUAAUGACUGCUAUGACUUUUGGUCUUUAUUAAUGUUAUACUUUUUAAAAUAUUACACUUUUUUCCUUUAAUUUGUCCCAUUGAAAUGAAUGGGAAACUUCCACAAUUCUGUGCAAUUAACUCAGAGUGAGCACUGGUCCUUUCUGAAACUUCUCUUCAUGUCCGAACAACUUCUUGCUGCUCACUCAAUUUUCACUCAACCCCCAUAAACUAUACAUCAAAACGUAGGUAUUUUUGCUGGCUUUCAGACAAUGUUACUAUCUUUAUUGUGAGAUUUACCGUUUUUUUGCAAUUUGCCUCGAAGUGACACAUGGUCUGGAUACUCCCCAUUCAAAGUCUAUGGGGAGGUUUUGAAAUGCAGAGCUGAAAUUCUGUAACGGGAGGCAUUUUCAAAUCGCCAUAUCUCCUUAACAAAGCAAAGUUAGGACAUGAGGCUUGUGCCAAUAUAUCUUCAGACACUGCUGACACUCACAGUGGAAGCAGUUUUUACAAUUAUCUUACCGUUGAGCAAUGAAUUACGUUUGUUUGAGGGGUGGAAAUCUGUCCUCCUCUCAGUUUUCAAACUCCGAAAAUGAAGCCGUUUCUUCUCUCGUCAUAUCUCCGCGACGGAGGUACAUAGAGCAAUGAAAAUCACAGUCAAAGUACACCAAAGUCCGCUGAUUCACCCAGUCCAAGAAUUAUGCCGCUAGCCCUCCUAGUUUUUGAGUUACACGACGUUUUGUAACACCAAAAAACGGCGUUUUUCGCCUCUCACCGCGAUCUAAUUCUGACUGCUGAAGUCUCUGUCUUUCAGACCCCCGCCCCCUUUCCAGGUGGCGCAAUCAGUAAUGACACGGCUCUGCAGCUCAAAGGUCGUGAGGUCAAUCCCACCUUGUUCAACAUUUUUUUUUUUCACUACAAAUUGAUACACUAUCACAGACCUGUAAUUUAUAUUGCUAAUUUAUUACAAUUCUGCAAAGUUUUAUGAUUUUAGCAGCUUUUCUAAUAUG